GCACUGCUGACGAGUCCAAACCAGAACGAAACAGCUGUCUAGUGC
RNAcentral lists this non-coding RNA (45 nucleotides) under Echinostoma caproni. Lineage: Eukaryota; Metazoa; Platyhelminthes; Trematoda; Plagiorchiida; Echinostomatidae. The record is from RNAcentral.